GAAAUACCAUUGGGUCUUUUCGCGAUCGGACGGCGCCGGCAGCGCCACCGUUCUAACGAUGCGCGGAU
RNAcentral lists this small RNA (68 nucleotides) under Sinorhizobium meliloti 2011. RNAcentral describes it as "putative ncRNA". Lineage: Bacteria; Pseudomonadati; Pseudomonadota; Alphaproteobacteria; Hyphomicrobiales; Rhizobiaceae. The record is from RNAcentral.